Molecule: long non-coding RNA, 380 nt
Filed under: Carica papaya (papaya)
Lineage: Eukaryota; Viridiplantae; Streptophyta; Magnoliopsida; Brassicales; Caricaceae
Description: long non-coding RNA (CPAP_LNC016598)
Source: RNAcentral
AAACUUUUGUUUGAUACUUACCGUUAUGUGUUUUCUAAAAAAAUAACCUAUAAAGACCUAUAUCUACACCACUUUUCAUUUUCAUGCACAAGAGAACAAGAAAUGACAAUUUUCUUUUCUUACUUGCUGUCUAGUACUCCUGAGGGUCUAUAAGGAUGUUCUCCUACUCGUGAACCUAAUGUCUAAUUUUAACAAUUAACCGAUCGUCCCUAUAUCCAGUCUGGUAAUGGGUGUCAAACAUUCUAUUGUCUUGAUAACCCAUUCGGUAUGAGGGUAAACGAUAUCUCCUAAAUCUUUCCAGUAAGGGGCUUUCUAACCCUGUUCAACUGAGAUAACGUUCACGGUAGGGUUUUCUACGUACUGAGCCUGUCCGCCUUUUC